Molecule: RNA transcript, 1604 nt
Organism: Lycium barbarum (goji berry)
Lineage: Eukaryota; Viridiplantae; Streptophyta; Magnoliopsida; Solanales; Solanaceae
Exons: 3
Source: RefSeq, a predicted model, not a curated record
UUAGUUCUUUUCAAUUUCUCAUUGUGCCUUGCCCUUAGCAUAAAAUGCAUGCUUAAUUAUAAAUGUUGUGAAUUUUUAAAAAGUUGAUGCAAUGAAGAGUCUAAUUAGGCUACCUUGUGCGUAGGGGCGGAGCCACAUUGGCUCCAGGGGGUUCAUCCGAACCCCCUCGGCGAAAAAUUAUAGUGUAUUUUUAAAGUUAAAAUUAUUUUGUUAUGUAUAUAUAGUAGAUGUUGAACCCCCUGACUUCUUCGUGUAUUUACCUUUUAGAAUUUUUGAACCUUCUGGAUGAAAAUCCUGGCUCCGCCACUGCUUGUGCGGUAGAAUUUUUUUGGCAUGCAUAUGAUACUGUAGUUCUACUAUUAAAAGGCAACUUAUUGAAAUUACUUGCAUUGAUCUAAUUAAGAUUGACCAGUAAGUUAGGUCUGUGGGAAAAAUUGCGGAGAUGAAUAUAUAAUUAUCAGGUCUGUUUUUUAAUUCUAAGCCUGUAAUCACUCAAACUUUGUGAACUAUAAUUUAUCAAGGUUUGAUUCAUUUUAAGACCAUUUGUUCUUCCAUACAUUUCUGUCUAAAUAUACACAGUAAAUGGAUUAUGCAAACUCAUUUGAAGGCCAUCAACAAGUAAAACUUGAAGCUCUUGGAAAAAAUCCUCUUAUGCACAUGAAAAUACUAGGAGGAAGAAAGAUUUUUCUAGGCUAUAAAAAGGCAGUAACUUUUAGGUAAAGUGACCGAAUGGUGAUUCAUGCAUAAAUAAGACUCCCUACAUGAAUGUGAAACUGGAGCAAAAGCUAACCUCAAGCAGGAUCCAAAGAUUCCUAAGGAACGAAAUUAUAUUCACCGAAUGAAGGAUGUACCAACAAUUGAGAUUAUCCAUUGGAUGUUGUAGAGGAAGGAUGGUGCUUAACUUGGAGCCAGCGAACAAUGAGAGUCUAUGCAGCUGCUAAAGGCAAGUUUCAGUACCUUUAAAAUUGUCAUCGAACGAGAGUGAAAGUUCGUAAAGAGGUAAACUGAUACCUUCUAAUUGACCAUCUUGCGUCAGAUUCAUAUAUAUAACAAAAAUAACAGCAAAUACAAUUAGAACUUUUGGUGGUUGUGGCCUUCUAUUGACGGUUGAUACUGUCAUCCUUGAAGUAAUAAAAGACCAAGUUCAGCUCCUUAUCCUAAUUUCAUUAGUAAAGAAAAAGAUUACUAACGAGUUCACAUCAAUAUGGCUUUUUCCAAUUCCCUGCAUGCUAAUUGUACUACUAUUGUUCUUAAUUUUCACUUCUAUAAAUGUUGCUGGUAUGAAGUUUAAUUAUAUACUGUCUCAAUGAUUCUAUUAUGUAAAACUAACAUGCAGAUAUAAACAUUCUUCGCAGUUUUAAGACUCUCAAUGUUUUCAUGUGUUUGCCCAAAGCUUUUGCCUUCCUUGCGUUGCACUUCAGCAUCGCCAAUGGUGACAAACGCUCCUAAGACAUCUAGCAUUUUGGGAUUUGGCUGUCAUAACAGUUUUGAUCAUAGUGCUAACUUCUCGGGGUGCAUUAUUCUGGCCCUAACCGUCUAUGUACUUUUUGUCAGGUACCUCAUUAUUUGACCAAUAGUUUGGUUCAGACAAAAAGAAUCGAGAA